Corvus hawaiiensis (hawaiian crow) is the source of this 442-nucleotide long non-coding RNA. RefSeq lists it as uncharacterized. The transcript is spliced from 2 exons. Lineage: Eukaryota; Metazoa; Chordata; Aves; Passeriformes; Corvidae. The record is from RefSeq and is a predicted model, not a curated record.
GGAGCGGAGCCGCCGGAGCCCGUGGCCCUUCCCGGCCCCUGCCCGGCCCCGGCCCGGCCGGGCCAGGCUCCGAAAGCGCUGCCGGUACCGGGGGCGCGGGGCCGAGAGGGGCGGCGAUCACCCCCCCCCCGAACCCCCCCCCGGAGCCCCGGCGGGCCCUGCCCGGAGCGCGGCCGCCACGGGACGGGAGCAUGCGGAUCCUCCUCCUGUGCCUGCUGACUCUCGCCGGGACCCGCGGGCAAGGAUUGCUUUAAUCCCGCCGUCCUAAAUCCCACCUGGAUGGAUCCUGGGAAUGCCCGGCCCGGCUGCGGCUCCGGGGGGUCCAUCCCGGAGCCCCCCGCCCCUCUCCGGGGAAUGAUGUCCCCAUAAAGAUCCCCCCCCCCCCCCUAAUUGCUCGCCUUACCUCGAGGUUUUAUCAUCAAAGCCUCGCCGCAAUUCCCUC